AGAAUUGUCAGCCCUAGAGACGAUCACCAAUCGACCAGGAUCUUCCACCACCUCUCCCUCUGUCGCCUCAAGAAAAUAUCGCUCUUCUCAAUAUAGGGGACAACCGAACGACCGGUGACACAACGGAUGACCAUUGACCCCAACUGCCAUAAGGUGAUUUGAAUGAAACAUUAGUUUUUUUAAUAUCGGGUAUCACUUAAAUAUUUUGGGAGACAACAAAUCGAUACGUCGGCAUCCGUUCUUCAUUUUUUAUCGAACCCAAAAUCCUUCUUCCUCCAAGAAGUAAGUUCUUCACUCCAAUUUGUAGUUGAAUUUUGUUUAUUUUUGUUGAUUCUGUCCAGAACAAAAGAAAAAAAAAAGAAAAAGGAAAAAAUAGCAUAACAUACGAUCGAAUUUGAUUCAAUAGGUGAUGUUGUUAUUUCCAACAAGGCUCUCAUAAAACAAGAUGUAUCCAUGGUUAGUGUUGCUUGCAUACUCCUAAGCCGAACUAAAUGAAGUUUGAACUGCUGAAUCAUCAAUCAUCUCCACAUUCUCAUCAUCAAAGAAGUGCCGGUGGUUGUGGCUUUUCACCAGACUCGCAUAAUGCCCAUGGUUGGGCCCACUGCCAACAUGGACCAUCACCACGAAUAGAGAUUACUCACAGUCAGCAUCUUCCAUGGUGUUUGUUAGCUUCAGCUCAAGGGGAAACACAACACGGUAUGACAACUUCUUGUACCUUCCCAGCUGCUCCAUGUAUUGAAACGUUUCAAAUGUAUCACUAGAAUAUGCAGUUGUUUCUUGAUCUUCAUCCUCUUUUGUGCUUCCUGCAAACUAUGGGCCCCCACAAAACAUUUUUACACUUCAUAAAAAUGAAAACCAUUAUCACAAAAAUAAAAUAUUGUUGAGAAAGAAAGUAGAGAAACCUGCAGCAGUUAUCACAUAAAAACUUAUCCUCAACAUUUAAGGUCUCAGUGGAACUGAAAUUCUUUAGGCAACUUGUAAUGGAACUGUUUUGCUCAAUAUCAAGGCUCAGAUCUAAGAAUAUUUCAUCUCUUGCAGUUACAGUCUCACAUCUUAAACACUUUGUUUCAUUUGUCAGUAUACCCUGAAAUUCAAAAAAUAGGACAACCUCAUCAUAUAAUACCACAUCAUAAUUUCACUAAUUUUAUUUAUGCUUUACUGAUAGGGUUUUAUGCAGAAGAGUCACAUUACUUUGGGAAAAUCACAAAGUAUUUCAUUUCCUAUAAAAAUAAAAUAAAAAAUGACUUUUUUGUUAAUUUGGGCAAAAUGUUAAAUAAUCGAGACUUUUCUGUCCAAAAAAAAUGUAGGACCUGAAAGUUUUUAUGAUAAACUAGGAUAAUAGCUUUCAUUGGCGAUGCUAUAAUAUGAUCUAUUAAUGAUUAGUAGAGUUGUUGAAUAAACCUGAAAGUUUUUGUGAACCCAUGUAACCAAGGGCUCCUUACUUAGACCAUUAGCCUGAGGCAUAUGUAUACCAUUGGCAAUCUUUUCAGGAGGUAAUGAUGAUGCUUUUGAUAUUGUUUUCUGGGAGGUUAAAUGUUUUAGAGAUAUUGUCGUGUGAUUGAAUUUCUCAUUUGUCUGUGAGGGGGAAAGGAUGAGUGUAAUAACCUUAUGUUAGUUAACAGAUAUCAGUAAAGGAAUCUACAUUUGGACUCUAAGUUGUUUAACAACAUACACAUCUAAAAGACUAAAGUGACCUCCAUAUUGUCCUUGAAUUGAUUUACCAUGAAUGCAUGUUUGAUCACUUGAAUCCAAAAAAAGAUUUUUUUUAAAAAAAUCAAACUGAAAUUGUACAAUUUAAUAAAAGAGAAUUUCUAAUGGGUAAAAAAAUUAUAUUAUUGCCACUUAUGACUUAAAAUGUAAGUACAACACACAUUUCUAAUGUUAUUACCCUGAACAGAUUUACCAUCAAUGCAUGUUUGAUCAUUUGAAUCCAAAAACUAAUUUAAAAAAAAUAAACGAAUGAAAAUAUGGUGUAAUUAUAGAGUACAAAUCCCCCCCCCCCUUUUUAAAAAAAGUCAAGAAAAGUAGUUUGCUUGUAUGUUUCUAUGAGUAUAGGCAAGAAAACAAAAAAAAAAUGAAAAUUUGUUGUAAUAAAAACCAUUAUAACCCCACCCUGUGCCAUAAACUUAUUUGAGUUGGUGGUCAUCGGAAAUACCAUUUGAUUUUAUCACAAAUGGCCGCUAUAACCGGUGCUGUCAAGAAAUAGCAACGUACUCUCAGUAUUAAAUUUUAAAAUAAACGAAAAUGGAGAAUGCAGGGGCAAUUUAGGUAUACUGGUAUUUUUUUUUAUUUAAUCUUAUUUUUCCUGUUAUUAAAGAACAACGAACAUUAGCCUAACUUUUAAACUUACAUUAGGUUGACAUGAAUUAAAGGGGAAACAAAAGGGUCAAAAUGACAAUAUUGAACAAAAAAAUAUAUAUUGUUUUAAUUGUUUCAUAUCAAUGUACUUUUGUUUUUUAUGUUUAAGUCGGCAAAUUACGAAAAAGUAUUUUUGAAUCAAAUCAAGGUCAUUUUGACUCCAAAUUUCUUCAACUUAACAGUUUAGGAAGUAUAAUGCCAAAAUGGAAUGUAUUUAAAAAAAAUAAACUUUCUAUGACCUCAAUAUUAAAAUUUUAAAGUAAACAUAAAUGGAAGUUGCAAGGGCAAUUUAGGUAUAUUGGUCUGCUGUUUUAAUUUUAUUGUAUUUUUCCUGUUAUUUAAGAACAAUGAAUAUUAGCCAAACUUUUAAGCUACAAUGAAUAUUAGCUAAACUUUUAAACUGUAUAUUUGGUUGACAUGACAAAAAAGGAAAAAAGAUGGUCAAAAUGACAAUUUUGAACAAAAAAUAAUUUGUUUUAAGUGGGUAAAUUACGAAGAAAAAAAAAGUAAAAAUGACCAAAUUGGACAAAAAGGUCAUUUUGAGUAAAAAAUGUCAUUUUGACUCCGAAUUUCUUCCACUUAGCGGUUUAGGAAGUAUAAUGCUAAUAUGAGACUUAUUUAAAAAUAUCAAACUUUCUGCUUGUGGUCUCAUUUUGUGAUUACAGGUGAUCUAAACUAAAGUAGAAUAAUGAAUAAUUUAUUUUUAUAUAAAUGUCUAAAAAUAUAGCAUUCUAUUUUUAAAAAAAUGCUACCCUUAGCUGUGAACUUAUCCAAUUCACCUGGUGUUAUUUUUUAACAUCUAUUUUGCAACUGCUUUUAAUAAUUGUUUUCAUUUUUUUAGUUUUUUUUUACAUGUAUUCAUAGAAACAUAAAAACACCAAAGUACCUUGCUUCAUUGUUAUUUUUUUAAAAGGGGCAAAUUUCGAUCAGAUGCAAUUAUGUAUUUCUCAUGCAUGGAGUGUUUAUGUAAUUUUGUAUUUGUCAUACCAAUUGUAUGAAAUGUGUGUAUGUGUUGUAAAUAAAAUGAGAAUAUGGUCAUUGUUAUUAUAAAGUAUAAAAUUUCCCUUUUUAAAAAAAUAAAAUCAUGAAAUCGUACUUUGUUGUUUAUAUGUUUCUAUGAGUAAAGGUAAAAAAAUGAAAAUUUGUCAUUAUAAAAUUUUAAAGUAAACAGAAGUGGAGAAUGCAGGGACAAUUUGGGUAUAUUGGUGUAUUAUUUUAUUUUAUCAUAUUUUUCCUGUUAUUAAAGAACAAACAUUAACAAAGCAUUUAAACUAUACAUUGAGUUGACAUGAAGAAAUGAUCAAAAUGACAAUUUUGAAAAAAAAUAUUUUUUAUUUUAAUUGUUUCGUAUAAAUGUAAAGCUAUUUUUUAUGUUUAAGUGGGCAAAUUACUUAAAAAAACCCAUUAAAAAUGAUCAAAUUUGACAAAAUGGUAUUUUUGAGUCAAAAUAAGGUCAUUUUGACUCGGAAUUUCUUUAACCUAUUAGUUUAAGAAGUAUAAGGCUAAAAUGAGACCUAUUAAAAGAAAAUAAAAUUUGUGCUUAUGACCUCAAUAUUAAAGUUUUAAGGUAAACACAAUUGGAGGUUGCAGGGGCAAUUUUGGUUAAUAAUGUAAUUAGUUAGUAAAUUUUAUGUAAUUUAAGAAAAAUGAAAAAUACCAUAAUUGCCAAAUGAAAAAAGAUAAAUGAAAAUAAUAAGAAAAAACCGCUUUAGAAGAUUGCAAAUGACAAAAACAUUCAUACUUAUUAGGGUAGAUUCUUUAUCACAUAUUGUAAUGGGUUUCAUCAUAUUUUCAAAACCAUGAACUUUACUUUCUUUAGUUGUUAAAUAACAAACAAAUAUUUUUUUGUUAUAUUUUUUUCAUAAAAUUAAUAGUUAGUUAAUGUAACUUAUUUUGCUUUGAUAAACAUUUAGAUAGAAAAGAAUAAUUUAAUAAUAUAUAUAAUGUAUUUUUGUCAUUUUAUAUUUAUAUUUAAAAGGGUAAAAAAUAUUUGUCAAACAUAAUGGAUGUUUUAAAGUUGUUUUACUCUAAUAACGUAUAAUAUACAUAAGUUAUGAAUAUUGUUUUUCCUUUUCAACUGUGGUUUCUACGAGUUUAAAUUUAUUAUAAGUCGUUUCAUACAAAUAAUAUGUUGCAUUAUAUAAACUCACGACUUUUAUAAAAUAUGUGGAUUUACAUGUGUAAUUAAAUAGUUACAAAUUACAAAGUUAUUAAAAAAUACAAUACUACAAUUCAUAAGUUUUUCUAAAUUAAUGAUAUAUUAUUUUAUUAUAUAAACAAUUUUUUAAUUCUAUUUAAAAUUAUUACCCGUGGGUUCCACAGGUUUUAACCUAGUGUGUGUAUAUAUAUAUNNNNNNNNNNNNNNNNNNNNUUAAGGAAUAGUAUAGUAAUAUAGUUUAAUCAAUUUGGGUUUUGCCACACUUCUUUAGCAAUUUUGACAGUUUUGGUCGCUCUUUAAUUUUUUCAAAUUUUUGCCACAAAAGUUUCAAUAUUUUGCCACUUUUGGUAAUAUGUGCGGUAUGCUCUGGGGAACUCACUAACCAUUAGCUUACAGUUUGUGGAUUUGUUUUAGGUACAUCUGAGCCCAAGGGCAAGGGCAAGGCUUGAUGGCGUGGCAUGCACUCUCAUUCGAGCGUUUUAUGGGACACACUGAUAUUUUGAAAUAAAGUUGUAAUUGAUAUGGUUUUUAAAACAAUUGUAACUGGUUUUUUUGAAUGAUGGAAUCGUGUUUUGGAUAAUUAAAAAUGAAAAUUUAGGUCGUUACAAGUUGGUAUCAGAGCCUUGGUUUGAGGGAUUCGGGCACACUCUCGGGUGUGUCGGGACUCAAACUAAGGAAAUGGUAAAAUUGUUUUCAAAGAUAAAAUGAAAAGUUUUUAAAGAAAGGAAAAGAUGAGAGUGCAACGCGCGUGAUCAGUCGGGCCAAGUAAGUAGUUCCCCAAUAUGUUAGCCAUGUUAUACUGAUAUUUGAGCUUUGAUGAUUGUAUGGAACUUGCUAUGUGUAUACUUUUAAAACUGUAUACGGUCGAGAGCUUAUAGCCUUAGAAUGAUUGAUUUGACCUUAUUUCCUGUUCCUUAUUUGGUUGUGGUCCUAGGGUAGAAUCUAUUAUUCGAAAGUCUAUUUGAUCCUUUUUCUGUGUAUAACUUGCAUGCAUAAAGGCAAGCUGUUAUGACCGGUAUGAUUGAUGUAAGUAGGCCAAAUCUUAGGACAGCCUAGGAUUUGAGAUAUGCGAUAGUCUGCAGGAUAUGGUUUAUUUUGGGACGAAGUGGAGUUGUCAGGUAGAGCCUUGGGGAAAGGUACAGGUAGGUGCAUAAGGUAGUAUUGGGACCGUACUACUGAAAGCACAGGACCUGUACCCAAACCAAUGCUAGACCUGUGAGCUCUAAGGAGGACUGGUGUGGGAAGAUCCCUGUUAUGGACAUCUUGAUCAUUAUGUUUUAUGGUAUUGCAGUUCAAUAUGGUGGCGAUACGACAUUGAGCUGGUGGAUCAGGAUCAGGAUCUGGAUCUGGGUCGGGCGAUGGUACCGAGCCCAUCGAUGAGAGGUUGUGUGAGCUCAUCGCAACUGAGGUUACGAGGGGCAUUCUUGACGCUACCCCAGUUAUCUUUAGGAUGGUCAAGGAGGGUAUGAUGGAGAUUAUGAAGGAGAGGCUUAGGGGAUUUAGAGCCGAUAUUGUUGCGGGCCAAGUCGGGGCUCGAACUCACUCGUUCUGGGAGUUCAAGGCGUGCGGAGCGCCAAAGUUUUUCGUGGUCAGUGACCCUAUUGUUAGCCGACAUUGGAUGGUGGAUAUCAAGAAUGCCCAACGCACGAGUUCUAGCUCGGACGCAGCAAAGGUGGGUUUUGCUUCUUGUAUGCUGAGAAAUAAAGCCCGAGAUUGGUGGGGCGAGGUUACUAGCCAGGUAGGAGGAGCCGGUAUGGCUGAGAUGACAUGGAUCGAGUUUGUUAGGUGGUUUGAUUUGGAGUUUGCACCACUAAUUGAGGUACAACGACUUAUGAGGGAGUUUCAUGACCUUCAGCAGACCACCAAGACUGUGGCGGAGAUCACCAACAAGUUUCAGGAACGAGCAUUAUUGAUUCCAUAGUAUGCUACCGAUGAGGACAUGCGGAGGACGAGGUAUCAUUCCAUGUUGAGGGAUGAUAUCUGGGAGUUUGUGAGUUUCAUAGGGUGCAAAACCCUUAAUAAGAUGGUUGAGAAGGCCCGUGAGCGGGAGAUGGAGUUGGAAUUCCGCAGCAAGCGGAAGCCUGAGCAGGUUCAGACAGCAGUGGGUCAUGCUAAAAAGCCUAAGACCUCGGAUUCAUCGAGUAAGGGCCAGUAGGGCCGUGGCCGGUGUGCCAAGUGUGGGAGAUCUCAUGGUGGAGUUUGUCGGGGGACAGUUCUGACAUGUUAUACAUGUAAUCAGCAGGGCCAUGUGAGCAGAGAUUGCCCCAAAAACGGCUUGAUUUGUUUCCAGUGCAACAAAUUGGCCAUAAAAGGCCGAUUGUCCGAGGUUGCAGGGACGGGGAGGAGCGGUGGUGGCACCUGCGUCUACCACAUUGAGGAUUACUGAUGGUCGCCCUGCUAAGGCGGAUGCUCCGGUGGUGAAGAGCUGUGUGUUUCAGUUGACCACCGAGGAGGCUCGAGCAGAGCCAAACGUCGUGGCUGGUAUGUACUUACUUACCUGCUCUUUAUUUAUUUAUUUGCAUUGCUUAUGUGUAUAUCAUGCUUAUGUAUAGGGACCUUUUUGGUCAAUGGUAUGUAUGCUCAUGUUUUGUUCGAUUCAGGAGCUACCCGAUCGUUCGUGUCUCUUGCGCUUAGCAGGAAGUUUCGGGACGCGCUGGGAACCUUGGAUUCCCCGCUCGAGGUGGAGAUUGCAGAUGAACAUACAGUGAGUGCUACGAGGAUGUAUCGGGACUGUGUCCUGAAUGUUUUUGGAGACAGGUUUCGUGUCGAUCUAGUUUCGAUACCGUUGCGGGGACUAAAGGUGAUUGUCGGGAUGGACUGGUUGGGGGCCAACGGGACCAUGAUUGAUUAUGAGCGCCAUUUAGUGAGGUUCGAAACCCAAGUGGGGGAGAACUAUUUAUACAGGGUGAGAGUGUAACACCCAUAAAAUUCAUAUCAAAUUUAAACUUUCAAAAACAUGUAAAAUACCAAUAGUUAUUACGAAAGGUUUUCAAAAUAGUUUCACAUCAUAGCUCCCAUAAAUCAUAAUCAUAAAUCGAGGGAAGUGUACGAUCACGCCUUUGCCUUCCUGCGGUCAUCCGCCGAACUUGAAACAAUAAUCGAUAAGUGUAAGCUUGAAAGCUUAGUGAGUUACCCCCAAAAUACCAACCUCAUAUAACCAUAACAUAUUAUACAACAAACAUAGAACAACCAUGUAUCUAGAGUCUACAGAGUGACUGGUCCGCCCACAUAGAGCCUUCAGUCCACUUGGUCCACUCUCUGAGUCUUUAGUAUGACUGGACCGCCCGCAUCGGGCCUUCAGUCUAUCUGGCCCACUCUCCGAGCCUCGACACGUCUGGACCGCCCUCGUGGGGACUUCAGCCUAUCCGGACCGCUUGUCGGGCCUUCGGCCUGACUAUGUACCCUUCUGGGUCUGCAGUCUAUCUGGUCCGCCCUGGGUAUGUUGGCCUACAGCAUGAAGCAGGACCCGCCUCAACCCAACCCCCAUACCAAUCAAUCAUGUGCACAUAACAAAUAAUCAUAUAACAGUCCAUAUAUAAACAAACCGAUCUAACAGAACAUAUAGCAUAACAACAUCCUAACCAGGAUACCGACCUAAACCAGGUCACUAAACAUAGCAUCAUCCUAUAUACCAGGAUACCGACCUAAACCGGGUCACUCAACACAAUACCGCCCUAACUACCAGGACGCAGAUCUAAAAGAUCAAUAAACAUAGCAAGCAAAUACCAAUACACAAUCCGAGAAAGGGUUGGCCUUGGUACCUUAGACCCUGUCGAUAUAGUAAGGAUAACUCACCUCAAAAUGCCGAUCUGAAGAGAUGAGAUCAAAACUCCCGACCACCGCUACGAACACCACCGCCUAAAACUUCAUUGAAACCAUAACCAUCAGAGCCCAAGUUACCAAAAUACCCUUUGAAGUCAAACUAGUCAACUCUUGGUCAAAGUCACAGUCCUGGUCAAAGUCAACCUUCCUGGUUGACCCUACUCGCCGAGUUAACCUAGGGACUCAUUGAGUUCAUGAACUCAGAAACCCCACAAUUUGCGACUUGACUCGCCGAGUCACCCCAUGACUCGUCGAGCCCUUCAAUCCGAGUCCUAGCCUGUCCAACUCACUGAGUCCACUCAACUCUCUAAUCUGCAUUAUAACCAGAUGGGUUAGGGUUUGUGACCCAACUCGUCGAGUCCAAUAACAGACUCGCCAAGUCUACUAAGCCAUCCCUAUUCAAACAAUUUCAGACCAUCUCACUGCUUCCAACUCAUAGAUCUGGACUCUUAGGGCUAGUUUCACAUGUAAAGUUUCCAACUUUACGUGCAUGUAAGGCAAUAUAGGCUCAACACAAGCUAGAAAGAAGGUUCAAGACAAGAAUGCUCUCAAAUGAGCAAAAAGGCUGCUACUUUAUUCCUCCAUGGACCAAGAUAAGUCUAGAUCUGAAGUUGCAACCCCAGAUCUAGUCCCAAAACCCAAAAUGGAUUCCAAACAUGCUAAAAAGCCCCAAAUCCUCAUCCAUGAAAAGAUCUAGAAGGGUAAAGCUCAAGGUAACGACUUGUUACCUCAUAAAUAUGCCCAAUAUGAAGUAGAUUCUAGAUCUACACGAGUUCCUUGAUGCUAGCCUCUUGAUCUACAAGUUUCCUUCACUAGAAUCACCUUCCAAAGCUCAAAAACUCUCACCAAUGGCUCACACUCAAUUUUAGGGUUUACUGACUCUCAAGGGUAUAAGGAGGCUGAGGGGAGGACACAUGAUCAUUUAAAUAAGGUGCAAACCCUAAGAUUUAGGGUUUUCUCUUCCCAGCACUGACUCGUCGAGUCUAGCCACCGACUUGGCGAGUUAGGUCACGUAUCACGUGCCCAACAUACGUUCCGACUCGACGAGUUAAAGCUCCAACUCGCCGAGUCUACUUUUCCAUUUACACAUUACACCCCUGAACUCUUGCUUCCAAACUUGGGAUGUUACAGAGAGGGCCUCGUAGGGGCCAACUAUCUGUUCAGCUGCGAGGGGAAGGAGAUUUCUGCAACAUGGAUGUAUGGGAUUUAUGGCUUAUAUCUCAGAUAUGAGGGUUGAGACCACGACGUAUGUGGGCAGUGUGCCGGUUGUACAGGAGUUUCGGGAUGUCUUUUCCAAAUAAUUACUAGGAGUGCCUCCGGAGAGGUAGGAGGAGUUUCAAAUUGAUUUAAUGUCGGAUGCCGCUCCGAUAGUGAAGGAACCAUACCGGUUGGCACCGCCCGAGAUGCAAGAGUUAUCUAAGCAGCUUCAGGAGCUGCUAGAUCGAGGGUUCAUCCGUCCGAGCAGUUCCCCGUGGGGAGCACCGAUCAUGUUCAUGAAAAAGAAGGAUGGAUCACACAGGAUGUACAUUGAUUACCGAGAUAUGAACAAAAUAACAGUGAAGAACCGUUAUCCGUUGUCAAGGAUCAAUGAUUUGUUCGAUCAGUUUCAGGGUACGUCUUGUUUUCCAAGAUUGAUCUUCGAUCGGGGUACCAUCAGAUGAGGAUUCGGGAUGAGGACAUACCGAAGACAACUUUCAAGACUCAGUAUGGGCACUACGAGUUUGUGGUGAUGUCGUUUGGGCUCACCAAUGCCACAAUAGUGUUCAUGGAUCUCAUGAACAGGGUAUGUAGACCAAUGUUGGAUCGAUCGGUUAUCGUUUUUAUUGAUGAUAUUCUGGUCUACUCUAAGACCAAGGAGCAGCACGAACAUCAUCUGAGGGAGGUAUUGGAGACCCUGAGGGCAGAGAGGUUGUAUGCCAAGUUCUCCAAGUGUGAUUUUUGGUUGCGGGAGGUACAAUUUUGGGGUCACAUUAUCAGUCGGGAGGGUAUUUCUGUUGAUCCAGCUAAAGUAGAGGCAGUGAUGCAGUGGAAAGUACUGAAGAAUGCUUCCGAGAUCCGUAGCUUCUUGGCCCUAGCGGGCUAUUAUCGGAGAUUUAUCCAGGAUCGAUUUCUCCAAGAUUGUUGUGCCCUUGACCCGCUUGACCAAGAAGAAUGCAACCUUCCGAUGGGGUACGGAUCAGCAGAUGGCUUUUGAGACCUUGAGGCAAAGGUUAUACGAGGCUUCGAUUCUGGUACUACCCGAGGGGUUAGAUGAUUUGGUGGUAUACUGUGACGCAUCGAUUUUUGGGUUAGGUGCAGUACUGAUGCAGAUGGUGCAUGUGAUAACUUACGCCUUGAGGCAGUUGAAGCCUCAUGAGGCGAAUUACCCUACUCAUGAUCUGGAAUUGGGGGCAGUGGUGUUCGCCCUUAAGAUCUGGAGGCAUUACUUGUAUGGAGUGAGGUGCACCAUCUAUACUGAUCACAAGAGCUUGCAGUAUUUGAUGGAUCAACAGAACCUCAAUAUGCGAAAGAGGAGGUGGUUGGAUGUGCUGAAGGACUAUGAUUGUGAGAUCUUAUACCAUCCUAGAAAGGCCAACGUGGUGGCCAAUGCUUUGAGCCGCAAGGCAGCAGGUUCCCCGAUUGGGAAUGUUUGUUUGAGGAUGACUAUGAUCUAUCCAUUGUUGGAUAUGAUCAAGGGGGCUCAGGUCGAGGGGUGAAGAAGGAGAACUGGAAGAUAGAGCGGAUUCGGGGACAAUAUCCUUUGUUUUUCAAGGAUACAUGUGGCCUUUUGACACAAUAUGGCCGAGUGUGGGUACCGGUGACUAGAGGAGUGAGACAGAAGAUAAUAGAGGAGGCUCAGAAGUCCAAGUUCUCUAUACAUCUACGGGCUAUGAAAAUUUAUAGAGACUUGAGACUGAGUUAUUGGUGGCCUUGCAUGAAGCGGGAGAUCGCCUGGUUUGUGGAGCGGUACUUAGGGAUGAGAUUUAGAACCGGAAAACCGGACCGGAACCGGAACCUUUAGAUCUGGUUCCAGUUCUGGGUUUAAAAAUUAUCUUUAUCCGGGUUCUGGGUAAUCCGGGUUUGGGUCCAUUGGGUCCGGGUAAACCGGGUCUAAAAACCAGAACCGGUGUUAGGAACCGGAACCACUUUUAGGGCCGGAACCGGUUUUUGAGAAAAUUUUAAAAGAUGCAUAUCUCAUUCGUUUCAACUCCAAUUGACAUGAGGUUUUUUCCAAUACGUAGUUUAGAGUUUGUACAUGAUUUUAGACUAUAAAUUUGCCAUUUUUAGUUUUAUAUUCAUCAAUUUAGAGUCCCCCAAAGUCGAGAUAUCAAAGCUGGAAGUUUUUAGUUUCUUAGUUUUUUUGUAUUCGGUGAAUGUUUUAAAACAUGCAUAUCAAAUUCGUUUGAAGUCGGAUUAACAUGUGGUUUUUUCCAGCUUUUAGUUUACAUUUUGUAAAUGAGUUUAGACUAUAAUUUUGUCAUUUUUGGUUUAAUAUUGAAUGAUUUACAGUCCUCCGAAGUCAGGAUAUCAAAACUAGAAUUCUUUAACUUUUCAUCUAUUUGUUUUUGUACUUUGUAUUCUAUGAAAAUGUUAACACAUGCAUAUCUCAUUAGUUUAAAGUUGGAUUGACAUGCGGUUUUUUCCAAAGUGUAUUUUAGAGUUUGUACAUGAUUUUAGACUAUAAUUUUGUUAGUUUUAGUUUCAUAUUCAAUGAGUUACAGUCCCCCAAAGUCGGGAUAUCAAUAUGAAAGUUUUCAAAGUUCAACCCACGAAGUAGUAAUUAAUUACCGAAAAAUUCCAGUUUUUUUGGUUCUGAACCCACUUUAUCCGGUUCCAACCUACCCACUUUGAUGUUUUCGGGUUUUCCGAUUCUAGACCCACUUUACCCGUUACCAUACUUGGAACCGAACCGAAACUGGAUCCAAUAUACCGGUCCGGUUUCCAGUUCUAAAAAAUCCCGUUAACCGGUUCCGGGUUUGGACCCACUUUAAUCCCUAGUUGUAUUUGAACUGCAGGAAGGUCAAGGCCGAGCAUCAGCGGCCUCACGACAAGAUUCAGUCGCUACCCAUUCCCAUGUGGAAAUGGGAAGAGAUCACUAUGGACUUCAUCACGAAGUUACCAAGGACGGCGAGGGGUGUGGACGCCAUAUGGGUAAUCGUAGACAGACUGACGAAGAGUGCCCAUCUUAUUCCGAUCUCUGAGAGUAUAUCCACCGAGAAGUUGGCGGAUGUUUAUGUGUGGGAAGUGGUGGCUAGACACGGAUUGCCAGUAUCAGUAGUCUCUGACAGGGAUGUUCGGUUUACAUCCAGGUUUUGGAAGAAGUUCCACGAGGAACUGGGCACUCAGUUGCAUUUUAGUACCGCGUACCACCCCCAGACAAACGGCUAGAGCGAGAGGACGAUCCAGACACUGGAGGAUAUACUGCGAGCAUGUGUGUUGGAUUUUAGAGGGAGUUGGGAUACUUCCCUUCCACUAGCAUAGUUUUCAUAUAAUAAUAGUUGCCAUGUCAGUAUCGACCAACCUCCAUUUGAGAUGUUGUAUGGCAGGAGAUGUAGGACUCCGAUUUGUUGGGACGAGGUUGGACACUGAGUCAUGAGGAGCAUUGAGGUGGUGCUCAAGACUACCAGACUGAUUCAACAGGUGCACGAUCGGCUGCGAAUCGUGCAGAGCUGUCAGAAAAAUUAUGUUGACCGGCGGCGAUCAGAUUUUGAGUUCCAAGUGGGGGAUUUCGUGCUAUUGAAAGUGUCUCCCUGGAAGGGGGUCAUCAGGUUUCGAAAGAGGAGCAAAUUAGGGCCACAAUAUAUAGGCCCUUUCAGGAUUACAGCACGGGUGGGCAGGAUAGCACAUCGCUUGGAGCUGUCGGAUGAGCUUAACCAGAUUCACAACACUUUCCAUGUGUCAUAGCUUCGGAAGUGUGUCACUGACGAGUCUACAGUCGUUUCUCUGGACGACAUUCAGGUAGACGAGAGCGUAAACUACAUUGAGAGACCCGUUGUGAUUUUGGAUAGGAACACCAAGGGUCUUCGGAACAAGGAAUUGAAGCUGGUAAAGGUGGAAUGGUAACACUGAAGGGGCUCCGAAUGGACAUGGGAGCCGGAGGAGGAGAUGCGGGAGCAUUACCCCGAUCUAUUCACAUUUGUAAAUGGGGGAGAGUUGUAACACUCCAAAUCAGGUAUUUCCUUUAAAUCCCUUGAAGAUUUUAAAAAUUCCAUAAUAAGUCCCUUAAGUACGUUGGGCGUACUCAUUGGUACACUUAGCGUACUAUGUAUGAUUGAUCGUGGAGGGACAGCACGUACGUUGGGCAUACCAAAAGUAUGUCGGGCGUACGUGGCGGAUGUUCAAACCCUAAUUCCCGGACUUGAGACCUAUAUAAGCAUCCUUAUCUUAUAUGAGCCUCACCCUAAUAAGCCUCAUUCACCUUCAAACAUCUCUGAAAACCCUAAUACCAUUUGAGAGUGUGUUUUGAGCUUAAGGAGUGCAUUUGUGGCCAUUUUAGUGUCCAUUCAAGAAGAUGGAGUUGUCAAGCAAGCUUGGAGUGGCAUUGGGCAUCAAGAAUCUGCAUCUACUUUACCUUGAGGAGCUUCUGGAGGUAUAAAGCUUUGAUCUUUCCAUCUUAUUCAUUAGAUUUAGCUAAGGUUUUCUAGUUUUGUCCUUUUUGUUGGUUUUGGAUCUCCUCUUGUGAGUUGAACAACUCUAGAGGCUUGAAAUGUUAGAUCUGAGGUCCUUUGGUCCAUUCAUAGCAUAAAAAUGAAGUCUUGAUGAGUGUUUUGAUCUCAUGCAUGGAUUAAGACCCUUGGAAAGGUCUUAAUGGGUUGGUGGGAACAUAUGAGACAUGCAAAGGCCUAAAGUUGCCAACUUUAUGCCCUAGGUCAUCUUAAUGAGCUUAGAUUUGACUACUGGACAUGAGAAAAUCGAGUAUUAAGCACUUAAUGGAAGAAAGUGCUUAAUCUGUUAGUACGCUGGGUGUAACUUAGCAUACGCAACGCAUACGGCCCAGGGACUCAAUACUUUGUGCAUACCAGGGUGGUACACUAAGCGUACGCACUACAAAAUAGACUUGGAUUUGUUUUGGCCUUUGGGCUUUUAGGCCUCAAUUAGUCAUUGGGCCUGGUCAUGUUUGGGGGUUAGUGGACCAGUUUAUCUGUUUUGGACCAUGGAUGUUAAGAUUGGGCCUUAUUGGGCCAUGAGGCCCAUUAAUGGUUUUGGAUAUGGACUUUGGGCCCAUUAAGUAAGGAAGAAUUUUUGGGCCAUUGUGAAAGGACUUGGAGAUUUGGGUUCUCCACUUAGAUGGUGUAUGAUCCUAACAUUGAGUAAUAUUAUUAUUGUUCAACACGGGUGUCUAUGGACUAUUAGGAGAGCAGCCUUCGGAUUCUAUAGAUGGAGGUGAGUCUCCUCGCCAAACCAAUGGUUCUAAGGCACCAAGGUCGGCCCAUUAAUUGUUAUGUGAUGUGUUAGUGGGUUAUGGAAUAUGUGAUAUGCUGGUUAUUUGUGACACUUGCAUGAAAGACCUUGGGGGGUUCCCGAGGCACCUAGGUGUAAGACCUUGGAGGGUUUCCAAGGCAUCCUCGGUAAAGAACUCAGGGGGUUCCCAAGGCAUGUGUGCUAAGACCUUAGGGGUUCCCGAGGCACCCGGAGUAAGACCCUGGAGGGUUUCCAGGGCAUCCUUGGGCUAAGACCUCAGAGGCUUCCCGAGGCACCCGGAGUAAGACCCUAGAGGGUUUCCAAGGCAUCCAUAUAUGUUGUAUGCAUGGCUUAUGUGGUAUAUGUAGCUUUAUGGCUAAUAUGAUAUGUGAUAUGUGGAUUGUAUGUGCGUUAUGCUCUGGGGAACUCACUAAGCAUUAGCUUACAAUUUGUGGAUUUGUUUCAGGUACAUCUGAGCCUAAGGGCAAGGGCAAGGCUUGAUGGCGCGGCACGCACUCUCACUCGGGCGUUUUAUAGGACACUCUGAUUUUUUGAAAUAAAGUUGUAAUUGAUAUGGUU
RNAcentral lists this long non-coding RNA (15298 nucleotides) under Lactuca sativa (garden lettuce). Its description in RNAcentral is "long non-coding RNA (LSAT_LNC004990)". Lineage: Eukaryota; Viridiplantae; Streptophyta; Magnoliopsida; Asterales; Asteraceae. The record is from RNAcentral.